UUUCGUUACUUGGCUAGAAAAUGCUAAGCGUCCGAACAAGUCAAAUUGACUCAUAUGAAACAAUAUUCUCUAGCUUUAUGGCAAUGGUUCAUCUGAAACGCUGUACAAACCUACAACUGUUUCAGUAUAGCGUCAUCCGUACCUUCGAUGGCGGUAAAUUCUGGUCUUACCAACAAAUUGGACUCGUCUGAUACGCACACGGUGCCCAGCCCAAGCUCUGGUGAAAUCCAUCGUGUAUGAGUAUGUUUCGACAGCAUCAAAUGUUGGCCGAAGAAAGGCCGAGGCGUAUUUUCUGUUAAGCGUAACGUUACCUAACAACUGGAAGCCUUAAUAUCGUCGUAAUUAAGCGUUCUGACGAUUCCAAUUGUUCGCGCAUAAAAUAGAACCAAGACGCUGGCAAAUUUUGUCCUUGCUUAACAUAAAUCAGUCAAUGUUGAAAAUAGUUGAUAUAAUGAAGGCUAACCAUAAUAAAUUUCACCGUUUCGGAAUUUUCGAUUUCGCAUAGAAACUUAAGUCGAUCACACCUAAUAAAACGUUAUUUACGUACGCCAGAAACGCA
Varroa destructor (honeybee mite) is the source of this 559-nucleotide long non-coding RNA. RefSeq lists it as uncharacterized. The record is from RefSeq and is a predicted model, not a curated record. NCBI's taxonomy places the organism in Eukaryota, Metazoa, Arthropoda, Arachnida, Mesostigmata, Varroidae.